AGCUCGGCCUGGAGUGACUCACCACGAGCACAAAAACCUGUGCGGAAUGACGGCUGCGCUACAAUGAUUCCAACGUGAAUAGGAAAAUACUAAACCAGAACACUACAAAUGCUUCAAUUAUUAGGAAGAGGAUCUGCUGACAUGAAGUGAGGAACCAAUCAUAUCCCAUGGUCAGGCACUGCAGAGGAAAGAUGUAGCUGGAAAAAGUUACUGCUGUCUGGGCCGAAGAAGAAAAGAAAAGACAACAGAGAAGAUGUUACCUCUCAUUGCACAAGAGAAACAAAAGACAAUCAAGAAAAUGUGGAGCAUAUCUGAACAGCUUGAGGAACCUUCUUAUACAAGCCUCAUUUAGGAGAUCUUUAUGUUUUAAAUGGCUUGUGAAGAAACUGGGAUAUCAUUAUUAAUAUGCUACCAGCUGCUCAGGCUGAACCUCAUGGCUUAUUAGGAAGAAAACGGCACCAAA
Long non-coding RNA from Hyla sarda, 463 nucleotides. RefSeq lists it as uncharacterized. The transcript has 3 exons. The record is from RefSeq and is a predicted model, not a curated record. NCBI's taxonomy places the organism in Eukaryota, Metazoa, Chordata, Amphibia, Anura, Hylidae.